UACGUAGGGUGCGAGCGUUAAUCGGAAUUACUGGGCGUAAAGCGUGCGCAGGCGGUCUGUUAAGACCGAUGUGAAAUCCCCGGGCUCAACCUGGGAACUGCAUUUGUGACUGCAUCGCUGGAGUACGGCAGAGGGGGAUGGAAUUCCGCGUGUAGCAGUGAAAUGCGUAGAUAUGCGGAGGAACACCGAUGGCGAAGGCAAUCCCCUGGGCCUGUACUGACGCUCAUGCACGAAAGCGUGGGGAGCAAACAGG
Molecule: ribosomal RNA, 253 nt
Filed under: uncultured bacterium
Lineage: Bacteria
Description: partial 16S ribosomal RNA
Rfam family: Bacterial small subunit ribosomal RNA
Source: RNAcentral